UACGAAGGGGACUAGCGUUGUUCGGAAUCAUUGGGCGUAAAGCGCACGUAGGCGGAUUUGUAAGUCAGGGGUGAAAUCCCGGGGCUCAACCUCGGAACUGCCUUUGAUACUGCAAGUCUUGAGUCCGAUAGAGGUGGGUGGAAUUCCUAGUGUAGAGGUGAAAUUCGUAGAUAUUAGGAAGAACACCGGUGGCGAAGGCGGCCCACUGGAUCGGUACUGACGCUGAGGUGCGAAAGCGUGGGGAGCAAACAGG
Molecule: ribosomal RNA, 253 nt
Filed under: uncultured bacterium
Lineage: Bacteria
Description: partial 16S ribosomal RNA
Rfam family: Bacterial small subunit ribosomal RNA
Source: RNAcentral